GACGAACGCUGGCGGCGUGCUUAACACAUGCAAGUCGAACGGAAAGGCCCUGCUUUUGUGGGGUGCUCGAUUGGCGAACGGGUGAGUAACACGUGAGUAACCUGCCCUUGACUUUGGGAUAACUUCAGGAAACUGGGGCUAAUACCGGAUAGGAGCUCCUGCUGCAUGGUGGGGGUUGGAAAGUUUCGGCGGUUGGGGAUGGACUCGCGGCUUAUCAGCUUGUUGGUGGGGUAGUGGCUUACCAAGGCUUUGACGGGUAGCCGGCCUGAGAGGGUGACCGGCCACAUUGGGACUGAGAUACGGCCCAGACUCCUACGGGAGGCAGCAGUGGGGAAUAUUGCAGAAUGGGCGGAAGCCUGAUGCAGCAACGCCGCGUGCGGGAUGACGGCCUUCGGGUUGUAAACCGCUUUCGCCUGUGACGAAGCGUGAGUGACGGUAAUGGGUAAAGAAGCACCGGCUAACUACGUG
Molecule: ribosomal RNA, 468 nt
Filed under: uncultured bacterium
Lineage: Bacteria
Description: partial 16S ribosomal RNA
Rfam family: Bacterial small subunit ribosomal RNA
Source: RNAcentral